Phoenix dactylifera (date palm) is the source of this 4877-nucleotide long non-coding RNA. RefSeq lists it as uncharacterized. NCBI's taxonomy places the organism in Eukaryota, Viridiplantae, Streptophyta, Magnoliopsida, Arecales, Arecaceae. The record is from RefSeq and is a predicted model, not a curated record.
GCUCGUAUGGUUACACCACAAAAGAAGAGCUCCCCUAGGGUUUUGGGCAGCCGGCAUUCCCGAGUUUUAUUCCUGAGCCUCAGAUCUCUCUUCGUAGCUGCUGCUUCUGCUGCUCUUCGUUUACUGUUUCUAUGGCGGUUCCAGGUCCUUACUCCGGCGUCAGCACCCUUGCUUUCGUGGCUCGUGCAUCGGCCUUCACCUUUGGCGUUGUCUAUGGGAGUAUAAAGCUCUCCUAUCUCAGGGCAAAGGCAAAGUCUCACAAAAAGGAGGCGGCAAAGGGCCAUCACUGAAUGAAGGGAUACGGCCAGUUGAUGAUCCCUCCUGAUAUGUAUCCAGCGACAAUUUUUGUUAUCAUCUUUUGUUUCUCUUUUUUUUUUUUUGGGUUCAUGCUUCCUUCAAGGUUGCUCAAAUCUCACACAUGGAACCAACGGGAGGAAUGUUUGACAUGUUACCUCCUCUCCAAAAAUAAUGGCCAUUCUUGAUGUCAAAGUGGAUUUACAUCAAAACUCUUCAUGUAGUUUUUCUGUAAUUUGUCAUCUAAUUAGCUUUUAGUCAGCAUUCUUUUAUUUGUGCCCUUUUUUCUGACAAACACCAGGUAUCAAAGUGUUGGAAACCUUAUCAGUUUUUAUUCAUGUCAGCGCUAUUUGUUUCUCCCACCUAAGCCUUAGCAAGCUAUUAUAAGCUCCAUGUCCCGCUGUUUGGGAUGUUUGCCUAAUCAGUUGUGUGAAGCAUCUGUUGAAUUUUGUUUUAGAGAGAAUAAAGGUCUUUUGUAAUGACUAUUUCUUUUUGUAAAAUAAUAUGGGCAAGGAGCAGGAGCAAAUCACACGUAGCUGGUCCUAGUUUCAAUUUAGUGAGACAGCAAGCAUGUGGUUCUAACGACAUUGGAUAAAGCUUUACCAUUUAAUUAACACUGAAGAAUUAGGAACUUGGCAUGGUUUCGCUUUUCUUAAAAAAGUAGGGGUGGCAAUCGAAUUGAAUGGGACCAGAGACGUCGAAUCCGAUCUAUUUAUUAAAUAAAUAAAUAAAAUUAAAUUCUGAUGGCAUCCCUCGUAAGGGAAGCUCCCAAGCUUGCCAUCUACGCAAACUCCCAUGGAUUCCUGACAGGUCCCUUUGUUCCCGCAUAAAGCUCACCAUCUGGGUCGUCACAGAUCCAUAAAGCUAUGCGAGCUUUCUCGAUCCAAGAUUUAGUAGAUUUACGGUAGAUUUUCUUCCAACGCAAACUUCCAUCGAUUCCCAACGGGUACCUUUCUUCCCGUAUAAAGCUCACCAGCUGGGUCGUCGUCACAGACCCAUAAAGCUAUGCGAGCUUUCUCGAUCCAAGAUUUACGGUAGCUUUUCUGGAAUCUUUUUUUCUUGGUUUGGGAUAUCGAUGGACGAUUUGGAACUUUCCGGGAAAUUUCCGUGCGCAUAUUUCAAAGAUAUGGUUAAUUUUAUGUUAAUCUAAAAAAUAUUUUUAUUUGGAUAUUUUAUUGUGGUCGAAGAUCUUUGUCUUUAUUCCCUGCACCGUACAUAUUCUCGCAGGGAAAGAGGAUUUUUUUAAAAGAAAUGGUUGGGCAAAGCGAAGUGAAAUAAGAUUUCACGUCCGCGAGAAAGAGGCAUUGCCGAUCGAAUCGUCAGGCACUAAUUAAAAGUGGGAAGAAAGGGGAGACCACCGGCAUGGAUGCGCGGCUUUGUUGGUAAAGUAAUUGAUUCCAGUACCGGAAAAGGCGAAGUCGGUGAGAGCUGAGGAGAUGACGAGUUUGCCAUCGAUCUGAUUGAUAAAGAGCAGCCGAGGUUGGUUUGGUUCUGCAGGGAAGAUGGGAGCUCGUUUGGAAAGACUUAAGGGUGCUGCUUCCACCGAUCAAGUCCUGGAAUGAGAUGAGAAACAAGGUGCGCCUCAUCUGUUCUCUUUCUAAACACCAUGGUUUUCUGGUUCAAGAUGUUUAUAGCUAAAGCUUGUUGAAAAGUGAUUUGAUAUUCAAGUGCUUAGCUGUUUUUCUCAAAAAUUUUGAGCGUUCUGCAAGAUUUUUAUGGCUGAAGCAUCUCGAGAAGUGAUUUAAUGUUCAAGUACUUGUUAUAGAGGACCGAAAUCAUCUUGAGAGGUCAUUUUAUGUAUUUCUCGAGAAAAGAGUGAGAGAGAAGUGGUAGAUCUGCUCAACAGAGUUCAGCCCCAUGGAGAUAAGGGGAUGGUGGAUCUGCUUCGCUGUAAGCACAUGCCAAGUGUGUGGAAGAAGAGUUGAUUUUAAAGGGAGUAUUGUGAUAUGGGAGAUUGGUGGGGAUGGAAAAAAUUAUGAAUUUUUGUAUUUUUUGUCGGAGUGGGCAUGGGAGGUAUCGGCAAAAUUGUGAUAGUGCAGCUGGUCCCAGAGAGAAAGAGGUAUAUGUUCGUUUUUGAGUUUGAAUUAAAGUGCACUCGUUCUAGAUGAUGUCUGGAACGAAAAAGAAAAAUAUUUGAUAAUUUGUUCAGAAAUCAAAAUUGGAUCCAAACGUAUUAAUUCUAGAUGAUGUUUGGAACGAAGACAUCAGAUAUUCAGUAAUGCAUAAAGGAUCCAUAUAAUGGAAGAAUAAAUGAUUAUUUUUUGUUAUGGAUUUGAGUGUAUGAUUUCUGGACGAUGUAUGGAACGAACAUAUAAAAUGUUUAAAGGAUCGGCAAAAAAUUCUAAGCAUGUUCGGGUUUGGAAGGUCAUUCGCUCGCCAAACAAAAAGUUUCUCCUCAUUUCUCCGAAAAUGACAUACUUAUGCCAGUUACCAAUCAGAAAAACUGUUAAUACAGAUUUUUAUAUUAUAUUUUAGUGCAAAGCUUGGAUUCAUCUUGGGCUCUCUUCUUUUUCGUGGUAACCUCCUAGCAGUUGCCAAAUGCUACUUUGAAGAGUUUUUUCAGAAAACAUCACUUAUAGUAUGACUUUCGGCUCGGCUUUGAAAAUUUCGUUAGCCCCACAUCAUGUGCUGGGUGGGAGGGAUUGGACUUGGAAGCUUUUUGAUGUAUGACAUGUUAUUUCAAAUCAUUAGCUGAUUCCAGUUUCAUUCUAAAGCUCCAAAGGUGGGGAGGAAUUUUGUUGAUAUAUAUUUGAGGUGCAGUGAUUUUGAUGGGGCCUUUUGCAUAAAGCACAUGAGUGGCCACACUGCAUGCACAUAGAUUUCUGAGGAGGAUAGCAGGUAAGACUCCAUAAAAAGGAACCAACCCAGACCAAGUAAUCCAUGUCAACUCAUACUUGCAACAAUGGGAGGCCCAUUAAAGAUGCAUCAUCAAAUUCUCAGUUUUGUGAAUUUGCCAAACAAUAGCCUGAAAGUUCAUAGAGGAGUGCUAUCCAAGUUGAUUUCUUCUCCCCUCUUCUCCCAAGUCAUGUGAGAAGAUAGACAUACCCAUAUGUGCACUUGGUUGCUGGGGCCUCCUAGCCAUGCUAGUUCGAUUGGUGAACUCAGAGGCCAAAAGACAGCUGCUUGGAGGGUUUGCAUGAUGGAGGAGAGAGUGGAGUCCAUCGAUCAGAAAUUCACUAUGAUGCCAAGCGCAUCAUAAUUAGAAACAUGGGGCCAUCAGGACCUACGAACCGGGGCAACCGGGAAGCUGAUUGGGAGAGGCCGUAAAGCUGGCCGCCUGUUCCACAGUCAGGAGCGAGAUGAAGUCUGAGUGCAAUGACUCGACUAAUCCACUAGUUGAGGCAAGUUGAAUGACCCAGAGCUGAUCCCUCCUUUGAUGAUAUUCGUGCUCAGCGAAGGAACUGCCUAAGCAUACUUUUUCGGGUCCAAACUUCUUUGUUCUUUCUAAGUCUUCUUCUUACAUAGAAGAACGCAACUCGCUGACGUUCGAUCAGCUUUCCUUUCACGCAAAGAGCUCCAUGAUGAGCAUAAUUGUGCUGGUAUAGCGGCCAUUCAUCUUUGGCUAGGGUACCUUGUAGGUUCCGGACACCUUCAGCAUGGAUGAUCUGCAAAGUGUCUCCCCUCAACAUCAAGGCAUGCAGUUUCAUCCUGUGGAUCGACAAUUUUCGAUUCCCCAUUUCAUACCUGAUUACAUCAUGAUGCACGAUGGAGAAAGUAUGAGAUGCUGUAGUUGUUAUAUCAAUGGAGAAGGGGAUUUGUUGCAAAUCAGUAAUUUAAUAAUAUAGUUUAUCAUUAGUAUGUUGGCUAGGUUGAGUUAUAGCAGCAUUUGUUACCAGUUAACUUCAUGUCAACAUGUUUCCUGUUAAUUUUAACUGAACAAAGUCUGAUCAAUGCCUUGGGUCGGUAUUGUGAACUGAUACCUGCUUGCAUGUUAUAGGAUCGUAUACUUUCUAUGAGUUAGUAAAUCCAGGAUCAGUUUAUAGAAGUAUUUUUCAUAUAAUUAGAGAUGAGCCAUUACUCAGUUUCAGUCAUACUAAAUUACAGUCAGGUAUUUUCUCUGUUUCAUGUGCUUCGAAUGUUAUCUCAUAAUCUACUUCUAUUGUUGCGUUGCGCCUAAUUUCACAACUAGUUACUGCUAGAACUUGUUCUUUGUUUUUGAGAGGAAAUAAGCUUCUGCUUUACUUUCUUGGACUCGACUGUUUGCUCCCAAGGAGGUAUCGGAUCCAUCUUAGUUUCACUAGUGCCUUUUUUCUUUGCAUUGCACCAUACUACAUUCGGAUCUUGGCUCUGGAUUCUUAUGGUACACUUGGUAAAAGACUUGAUCGUCACCUGGGCUUUAGUAUAAAUUUAUUCAAAAUGAUUAUGCCUGCAGGUAUCAACGGGAAAAUAGCAAAAAGUGGAUUCUGAUGAGGAUUGAAUGCAAUGCAAAUACAGUGGGUUGAUGUGUCAAAUCAUUUUUUUCACUUUGGAUUGAGAUGAAAGCGUAGAUGUUAUGUGUCUUUCUUUACCAAUGUACAGUGAGAUCAGAAACUUGUAUGCAAAGAUAAUGGAUUAAUACAUGUCCAACGUAUUCUUUUCUUCAA